GCAAUUUAUUAUUUUUUAGUAUAUAAAUUUCACGAAACCGUCUGAGCUAAUUUUUAUUUUAUCUUAGAAUUUUAGUUUAGCGUAGCAUAGCUAAAUUAAUAAUAGGAAUUAGGGGUGAAAGGCUUACCAAAUUCGGGGAUAUCUUGAUAAUAAGGAAAUAUAUUUAGUAUAUAGCCAGCUUGAUAAUGGUGAGGUUAUCAAAAAUUAUAAUAAUAGCUUUUUCUUUAUGUGGAAUUCGUAAUAGAUACCAAUUUAACUACAUUAAUAUUAUUAUACUUUUAAUAUGUAAUUAGUACUUAAUUAAGCGCCAUAAUAUUUAUUUGUUUAAAAAAUGAUUGCAUCAGUAUUAAAUAAUUUUUAUUAAAGGAACUCGGCAACUUUAAUUCUCGGCUGUUUAUCAAAAACAAGUUUUAAGUUUUCAUUUAAAAUAAAACCUGCUCAAUGAAAAUUUAAAUAGCCGCAGUACCUUGACUGUGCAAAGGUAGCAUAAUCAGUUGGCUUAUAAUUGAAGUCUAGUAUGAAUGGGAAUUCGGGAAUUCACUGUCUUUAUUUAAUUCUUAGAACUUACUUAUUAAGUGAAAAUUCUUAUCAAAAGAAAAAAGACGAGAAGACCCUAGAAAUUUUUUAAAUAUAUAAUCUUUAAUUUUGUUGGGGCGACAAGGUAACAAGAAACUUACCUAGUACAUGUGAAACUAUUAAGUUGAAGAGAUAAAUUACUCUAGGGAUAACAGCAUAAUAUUUUAAAGUUUGUGACCUCGAUGUUGGACUAGGGAGUGGAUUACUUAGAAGGUAAUUUAAUAGGCUCUGUUCGAGCUUUAUACCCUACAUGAUCUGAGUUCAGACCGG
RNAcentral lists this ribosomal RNA (846 nucleotides) under Monacha cf. kuznetsovi MTN-2017. RNAcentral describes it as "partial 16S ribosomal RNA". Lineage: Eukaryota; Metazoa; Mollusca; Gastropoda; Stylommatophora; Hygromiidae. The record is from RNAcentral.